RNAcentral lists this ribosomal RNA (465 nucleotides) under Vreelandella stevensii. RNAcentral describes it as "partial 16S ribosomal RNA". It matches the Rfam family "Bacterial small subunit ribosomal RNA", at positions 338 to 795 of the family's 1533-position model. The record is from RNAcentral. Lineage: Bacteria; Pseudomonadati; Pseudomonadota; Gammaproteobacteria; Oceanospirillales; Halomonadaceae.
CCUACGGGGGGCAGCAGUGGGGAAUAUUGGACAAUGGGGGCAACCCUGAUCCAGCCAUGCCGCGUGUGUGAAGAAGGCCCUCGGGUUGUAAUGCACUUUCAGUGAGGAAGAACGCCUGGUGGUUAAUACCCAUCAGGAAAGACAUCACUCACAGAAGAAGCACCGGCUAACUCCGUGCCAGCAGCCGCGGUAAUAUGGAGGGUGCGAGCGUUAAUCGGAAUUACUGGGCGUAAAGCGCGCGUAGGUGGCUUGAUAAGCCGGUUGUGAAAGCCCCGGGCUCAACCUGGGAACGGCAUCCGGAACUGUCAAGCUAGAGUGCAGGAGAGGAAGGUAGAAUUCCCGGUGUAGCGGUGAAAUGCGUAGAGAUCGGGAGGAAUACCAGUGGCGAAGGCGGCCUUCUGGACUGACACUGACACUGAGGUGCGAAAGCGUGGGUAGCAAACAGGAUUAGAUACCCUUGUAGUC